This 82-nucleotide transfer RNA is filed under the name Ixodes scapularis (black-legged tick). It matches the Rfam family "tRNA". From Rfam's summary of the family: Transfer RNA (tRNA) molecules are approximately 80 nucleotides in length. Their secondary structure includes four short double-helical elements and three loops (D, anti-codon, and T loops). Lineage: Eukaryota; Metazoa; Arthropoda; Arachnida; Ixodida; Ixodidae. The record is from Rfam by way of RNAcentral.
GCAGUCGUGGCUGAGUGGUUAAGGCAAUAGCCUAGAAAUCCAUUGGGGUCUCCCCGCACAGGUUCAAAUCCUGCUGACUGCG